AGUGAACGCUGGCGGUAGGCCUAACACAUGCAAGUCGAACGGCAGCACAGUAAGAGCUUGCUCUUACGGGUGGCGAGUGGCGGGCGGGUGAGGAAUACAUCGGAAUCUACUUUUUCGUGGGGGAUAACGUAGGGAAACUUACGCUAAUACCGCAUACGACCUACGGGUGAAAGCAGGGGAUCUUCGGACCUUGCGCGAUUGAAUGAGCCGAUGUCGGAUUAGCUAGUUGGCGGGGUAAAGGCCCACCAAGGCGACGAUCCGUAGCUGGUCUGAGAGGAUGAUCAGCCACACUGGAACUGAGACACGGUCCAGACUCCUACGGGAGGCAGCAGUGGGGAAUAUUGGACAAUGGGCGCAAGCCUGAUCCAGCCAUACCGCGUGGGUGAAGAAGGCCUUCGGGUUGUAAAGCCCUUUUGUUGGGAAAGAAAAGCAGCAGGUUAACACCCCGCUGUUCUGACGGUACCCAAAGAAUAAGCACCGGCUAACUUCGUG
Molecule: ribosomal RNA, 492 nt
Filed under: uncultured bacterium
Lineage: Bacteria
Description: partial 16S ribosomal RNA
Rfam family: Bacterial small subunit ribosomal RNA
Source: RNAcentral